Molecule: ribosomal RNA, 274 nt
Filed under: uncultured bacterium
Lineage: Bacteria
Description: partial 16S ribosomal RNA
Rfam family: Bacterial small subunit ribosomal RNA
Source: RNAcentral
AUACAGAGGGUGCAAGCGUUAUUCGGAAUCACUGGGCGUAAAGGACGCGUAGGCGGGUUGGCAAGUCAGAUGUGAAAUCCUACAGCUUAACUGUAGAACUGCAUUUGAAACUGCUAACCUAGAGUAUGGGAGGGGGAGAUGGAAUUAGUGGUGUAGGGGUAAAAUCCGUAGAUAUCACUAGGAAUACCGAAAGCGAAGGCGAUCUCCUGGAACAUAACUGACGCUAAGGCGUGAAAGCGUGGGGAGCAAACAGGAUUAGAAACCAUAGUAGUCC